RNAcentral lists this ribosomal RNA (451 nucleotides) under uncultured bacterium. RNAcentral describes it as "bacterial SSU rRNA". It matches the Rfam family "Bacterial small subunit ribosomal RNA", at positions 65 to 507 of the family's 1533-position model. The record is from RNAcentral.
AGGGGCAGGCAUAACAUUGCUUGCAAUGUUUGAUGGCGACCGGCGCACGGGUGCGUAACGCGUAUCCAACUUCCCGUUACUCAGGGAUAGCCUUCCGAAAGGGAGAUUAAUACCUGAUGGUGUUCAAAUUCCGCAUGUUAUUUGAACUAAAGAUUUAUCGGUAACGGAUGGGGAUGCGUGACAUUAGAUAGUAGGCGGGGUAACGGCCCACCUAGUCUACGAUGUCUAGGGGUUCUGAGAGGAAGGUCCCCCACAUUGGAACUGAGACACGGUCCAAACUCCUACGGGAGGCAGCAGUGAGGAAUAUUGGUCAAUGGACGAGAGUCUGAACCAGCCAAGUAGCGUGAGGGAUGACAGCCCUACGGGUUGUAAACCUCUUUUGUCCGGGAAUAAAACGGGGGACGUGUCCCCCUCGCAUGUACCGGUUGAAUAAGGGCCGGCUAAUUCCGUG